UUGCAUUUCUUGAUGUACUGAAAAUAUACAUCACUUAUAGGUGCUGUCAGGGAAGCAAUUGAAACUUUAAGGAGAAACAAUGUUAACGCUUUUGUCUUGGAUCUUCGGGAUAAUAGUGGUGGUCUUUUCCCUGAAGGAAUUGAGAUUGCUAAGAUUUGGUUAGAGAAAGGUGUCAUUGUGUAUAUUUGUGAUAGUCAAGGUGUUCGAGAUAUAUAUGACACUGAUGGAAGCAAUGCUAUAGCAGCUAGAGAACCCUUAGCCGUGCUGGUAAACAAAGGAACUGCUAGCGCAAGCGAAAUUUUAGCUGGUGCAUUGAAGGACAAUAAAAGAGCAGUGUUGUUUGGUGAACCCACAUAUGGGAAAGGCAAGAUUCAAUCAGUUUUUGAGCUAUCCGAUGGCUCUGGUUUGGCUGUUACAGUAGCUCGCUACGAGACACCUGCUCACACUGAUAUUGACAAG
Non-coding RNA from Camellia sinensis, 459 nucleotides. NCBI's taxonomy places the organism in Eukaryota, Viridiplantae, Streptophyta, Magnoliopsida, Ericales, Theaceae. The record is from RefSeq and is a predicted model, not a curated record.